RNAcentral lists this ribosomal RNA (407 nucleotides) under uncultured bacterium. RNAcentral describes it as "bacterial SSU rRNA". It matches the Rfam family "Bacterial small subunit ribosomal RNA", at positions 335 to 733 of the family's 1533-position model. The record is from RNAcentral.
ACUCCUACGGGAGGCAGCAGUGGGGAAUUUUGGACAAUGGGCGAAAAGCCUGAUCCAGCAAUGCCGCGUGUGUGAAGAAGGCCUUCGGGUUGUAAAAGCACUUUUGUCCGGAAAAGAAAUCCUUGGCUCUAAUACAGUCGGGGGAUGACGGUACCGGAAGAAUAAGCACCGGCUAACUACGUGCCAGCAGCCGCGGUAAUACGUAGGGUGCAAGCGUUAAUCGGAAUUACUGGGCGUAAAGUGUGCGCAGGCGGUUUGCUAAGACCGAUGUGAAAUCCCCGGGCUCAACCUGGGAACUGCAUUGGUGACUGGCAGGCUAGAGUAUGGCAGAGGGGGUAGAAUUCCACGUGUAGCAGUGAAAUGCUAGAGAUGUGGAGGAAUACCGAUGGCGAAGGCAGCCCCCUGGG